Molecule: small RNA, 462 nt
Filed under: Histoplasma capsulatum var. duboisii H88
Lineage: Eukaryota; Fungi; Ascomycota; Eurotiomycetes; Onygenales; Ajellomycetaceae
Description: Histoplasma capsulatum H88 hypothetical RNA
Source: RNAcentral
UGGGAUGGGUGUUUAUUUAUAAGAUCGCGUCCGCAAGGGUUUUGCUGUCCGUUUCAUUUUUUUUAAAAUGAAUUUUAUGUUAUUUCAUUACCGCUCGCAAGUUGCGGAGGAUCACUAGAUCUUUGGGCCUUUAUCGCCACCUUUUGGCUUGCUAUUCUGUCUAUCUGUCAGUCGAAUCAUGAAGGAGUAUAUUCUUUUUGCUUCAAUUCACAGGAGGUCCGAAAUUUCACACUGAUGCUUUUUGAAAAGUACAAGAAUAAAUUUCCAAUUUUAUGUUUCAAUUUGGGGCUGUUUUCUGUCCUCCUGCUGAAGUUUUCCUUUUUCAGUUGAUGCUCUCCGUUCCUGGUUUCUACUCCUUAUUUUUUAUUUCUCUACUGUCAUUGUCCAUGUUCUUUUUGUUGUGAAGGAGACCUUUUGGGAUUGAUCCUAUCAACUGCUUGUUACUACUAGCCCCUAAGAAUC